Molecule: ribosomal RNA, 253 nt
Filed under: uncultured bacterium
Lineage: Bacteria
Description: partial 16S ribosomal RNA
Rfam family: Bacterial small subunit ribosomal RNA
Source: RNAcentral
UACGUAGGGUGCGAGCGUUAAUCGGAAUUACUGGGCGUAAAGCGUGCGCAGGCGGCUUUUUAAGACAGGUGUGAAAUCCCCGGGCUUAACCUGGGAAUUGCGCUUGUGACUGGAAGGCUAGAGUGCGGCAGAGGGGGAUGGAAUUCCUGGUGUAGCAGUGAAAUGCGUAGAUAUCAGGAGGAACACCGAUGGCGAAGGCAGUCCCCUGGGUCAGCACUGACGCUCAGGCACGAAAGCGUGGGGAGCAAACAGG